Long non-coding RNA from Zonotrichia leucophrys gambelii, 1952 nucleotides. RefSeq lists it as uncharacterized. Lineage: Eukaryota; Metazoa; Chordata; Aves; Passeriformes; Passerellidae. The record is from RefSeq and is a predicted model, not a curated record. The transcript is spliced from 6 exons.
GACAGCCUGGAGGGAGCCCUGACUGAGAAGCAGCAACAAGCAGAGGAAGGAGUCUGUGCUGUGAAGAACUGCCCACCAAGAAAUAUCACUGAGAAGCUUGUGCUCAGCUGAGGAUCAUCCGCUGCCUGCAUUCCAUUUGUGUCCUGCAGGAUCUCAGCUGGGGGCUCCUGCCUCGCUCUGUGCCUCUGAACACUUGUGCAGCCACUUCCCAGAGCAAGCAGAACCUGCUGUGGAACCAGGUGCCGCUGCAAAAUCACCCUAUCCUGAGAUGUGAGAACCAUCUGAAAACCAGUGGAAUUUGCAGAAAUGAAAAUGAAGUGUUUUCUACAUUUCAAGCCUUUGGAAGAUUGCUGAUGCAGCUUUCCAGCAAGGAAGAAAUGGAGAGACCAAAGGGCUCCUGGAACUGUGACCAUUCCUCUGGGCUCAGCUCCCUCUGGCAAUGAUCCCCCAGCAAUCUCAGGGCACGGCCUGGCCAGGAUCCUGCAGCAGCCAGCUCUGGGAGCACCUGGAACAUCCCUCUUCUCCCAGGCAUGGAUCCUGGCACCAUUGUAAGUGCUGAAAGUCACGGACUAUAAAGAGAAAAGGGACACAUCCAGCUUUGAGAACGAAUGUCUUCUGUCAGGAGAUCAUCUCUGCAGAGUUUCACAGAAUUAUCCAGGCUGGAGAAGCCCUCCAGGACCAGUGAGUGCAAUCUGCGCUCAGUGCCCACCUUGUGCCCAGCCCAGAGUGCCGAGUGCCACAUCCAGCCCUUCCUGGGCACCUGCAGGGAUGGGCACUGCACUCCCAACCUCCCUGGGCAGCCCCUGCCAGGCCCUGAGCACCCUUUCCAUGGGGCAAUCCUUGCUGUGCCCGAGCUGAGCCUGGCCCAGCUGGGGCUGUGCCCUUGUCCUGCCCCUCCAUAGGGCAAUCCUUGCUGUGCCCAGCCUGGGCUGUGCCCUUGUCCUGCCAUGGUUUCAUCUCCCUGGAUGUCCCAUGGGGACUGCAGGGACAGCAUCAGAGGCUUGUUCUGGCUCCCAGGAGCCAACAGAUUUCUAUUGUAUUUUAUGUAUGUCAGAGAUUAUUACACCUACUGUGUGCAGCACACGUGCAUCUCCAGAAGGCAACUGGGACAGAGGAGCAGAAACACCAGGAUGUUUGAUUGGAGUCAGGAGCCUCUGGUUCAGGGGCUCAAGCCCAGCCCACACUAAAAGCCUGGCAGCAAAACCUUCUGCUCCAAUGUCUGAGCUCACUUUAGAGGUGCAAUUCAUAAGGAUUUCCCCCCAAAACACCUCAUCUUUCACCUGAAUCCAUUCUGUGCAGCUCCGAUGCCACUGCCCACACUGCCCAGGGGGACUGGGGAGGAGGGCUGGCACUGGGAGAACUCAGCAGAGAUGGGGACACUGUGCUCCAGGAAUGGGGGAAAGAAGAGCAAAAAUCUCUUCUUCAUGAGAGGACUGGAAAUGAAGAGCAAAAACACCAAGAUGUUCAUAUUUCAGCCCUGCUGACUUGGGCACUUCCAUCCCGCACGUAAAUCAGGAUUUCUGCUGUCGAUGGAAGUCACAAAGGACAGCAAUAAGUACUGGGAACUGACAGUGUUCCUACUUAGAAAGUUUUUCCUCUUUCAGGGACAUUUUCUUAAUUAUACUAAUUUGUCAAAUGUAUCUUCAGUUUUACAAGAAGUUUCCUUCUCUGCAUUUGUUAAAAGAGAGAUAAUUGCAUCUGGAAAGCAGCAAAAUGAAAAGAACCUUAAUUAUGCAUUAUAAUAACAAAUGUGUUCUAGUUCAGGUGAGCCAGACCAAUUAUAUGUGAUUAGUGAAUGGAAACAAUUGAUGUUUUUGCAUUUUCAUUUGGGUCUGCUGACCUUUCCUGGUGAAUGAGCUACAAUCUGUCUUCCCUUGGUGCUCAACACAGAACAAAUAUUUUAAUUUAUAGAGCCAUUUGGAGAAAUCAUUGCAGUCUGAUCAGAGACAAGU